AGAUUAAGGUGGGCCGAGUUAUAUGUGGCGGUCUUCCGAGCGUAUAUCACAACCAAAACAAAUAAACAAUGUGAAAAGUGACGAUGGACACCAAAGAGAUUUUAAUCGGAAUUGUCUCGGUUAUUGCUUCACUUUUUUUCGUCGUAUUAUUUGUCUUAAUAGGAUGGUUUAUUGUAUGGAAGCUGUUCCUUUCAAGAUUCAAAUUCAUUAGAGAGUUAUUAGGAAAACAACAGGAUGCUAGUUCUUCCUCUGAAGAGUCAAAGCAAUCACGCACACGUCCAGCACGCAAAGUGCGGCGUGAAUAGCACCCAUAUAUCCCCGACUUGGUUGAGUUUGUGGAUCCUGUUUUUAGAUCUGAUUUUUUACUAACUUGACUGUGAGAAUGAUGGAUAUAUGCCACUGGAAAUGUUGUGAUGAUAAACACAUACUCUUUUAUCUAAAAUAAUUUUUUUCUUAAUAAAGUAUUUUUUGAUU
Macrobrachium nipponense is the source of this 474-nucleotide long non-coding RNA. RefSeq lists it as uncharacterized. NCBI's taxonomy places the organism in Eukaryota, Metazoa, Arthropoda, Malacostraca, Decapoda, Palaemonidae. The record is from RefSeq and is a predicted model, not a curated record. The transcript is spliced from 3 exons.